CCUGCAUGAAUGUCUAGGUACCAGUGU
This 27-nucleotide non-coding RNA is filed under the name Rattus norvegicus (Norway rat). The record is from RNAcentral. Lineage: Eukaryota; Metazoa; Chordata; Mammalia; Rodentia; Muridae.